Molecule: unclassified non-coding RNA, 287 nt
Filed under: Hevea brasiliensis (rubber tree)
Lineage: Eukaryota; Viridiplantae; Streptophyta; Magnoliopsida; Malpighiales; Euphorbiaceae
Source: RNAcentral
GAUAAAAAUUGGCUGAAAAUUCUUUGUGAAGCAACAGUUGGACAAUGUAACUGGAUCUAGUAAAUCAAAUUUGAAUAGAAGUUCUUCAAAUUGAUCUUGGGAUUUUCCUCUUUGCGCUGAAUUUUUUCUGAUGUAGGCCAAACACACCCUUAGUAUUUCAACAGCAGCUAGAGUGGGUGACUGGGAAAUUGGAACUCGAAAUCUUGCCGACAUGAUAAAAUCAACAAAUCUUUCAUAUUUUUCUUUUUUUUAUUUCUUUGGAGGGCAGUGAUCAGUCUCAUCACUGU